AGUGAACGCUGGCGGUAGGCCUAACACAUGCAAGUCGAACGGCAGCACAGUAAGAGCUUGCUCUUACGGGUGGCGAGUGGCGGACGGGUGAGGAAUACAUCGGAAUCUACUUUUUCGUGGGGGAUAACGUAGGGAAACUUACGCUAAUACCGCAUACGACCUACGGGUGAAAGCAGGGGAUCUUCGGACCUUGCGCGAUUGAAUGAGCCGAUGUCGGAUUAGCUAGUUGGCGGGGUAAAGGCCCACCAAGGCGACGAUCCGUAGCUGGUCUGAGAGGAUGAUCGGCCACACUGGAACUGAGACACGGUCCAGACUCCUACGGGAGGCAGCAGUGGGGAAUAUUGGACAAUGGGCGCGAGCCUGAUCCAGCCAUACCGCGUGGGUGAAGAAGGCCUUCGGGUUGUAAAGCCCUUUUGUUGGGAAAGAAAAGCAGCAGGUUAAUACCCCGCUGUUCUGACGGUACCCAAAGAAUAAGCACCGGCUAACUUCGUG
This 492-nucleotide ribosomal RNA is filed under the name uncultured bacterium. Its description in RNAcentral is "partial 16S ribosomal RNA". It matches the Rfam family "Bacterial small subunit ribosomal RNA", at positions 29 to 507 of the family's 1533-position model. The record is from RNAcentral.